This 494-nucleotide ribosomal RNA is filed under the name uncultured bacterium. RNAcentral describes it as "partial 16S ribosomal RNA". It matches the Rfam family "Bacterial small subunit ribosomal RNA", at positions 28 to 523 of the family's 1533-position model. The record is from RNAcentral.
GAUGAACGCUAGCGGCAGGCUUAUCACAUGCAAGUCGAGGGGUAUAACACUUCGGUGUUAGAGACCGGCGCACGGGUGCGUAACGCGUAUGUAAUCUACCUUUUACAGAGGGAUAGCCCAGAGAAAUUUGGAUUAAUACCUCAUGGUAUUAUGGAUAGGCAUCUAUUUAUAAUUAAAGAUUUAUCGGUAAAAGAUGAGCAUGCGUCCCAUUAGCUAGUUGGUAUGGUAACGGCAUACCAAGGCGACGAUGGGUAGGGGUCCUGAGAGGGAGAUCCCCCACACUGGUACUGGGACACGGACCAGACUCCUACGGGAGGCAGCAGUGAGGAAUAUUGGACAAUGGGCGCAAGCUUGAUCCAGCCAUGCCGCGUGCAGGAUGACUGCCCUAUGGGUUGUAAACUGCUUUUGUACAGGAAGAAACCCUUCUACGAGUAGAAGAUUGACGGUACUGUAAGAAUAAGGAUCGGCUAACUCCGUGCCAGCCGCCGCUGUAA